GAUAAACGCUGGCGGCGUGCUUAACACAUGCAAGUCGAACGAAGUUUUUCUUUCGGGAGGAACUUAGUGGCGGACGGGUGAGUAACGCGUGGGUAACCUGCCCUGUACAGGGGGACAACAGCAGGAAACGGCUGCUAAUACCGCAUAAGCCCUUAGCACUGCAUGGUGCAUAGGGAAAAGGAGCAAUCCGGUACAGGAUGGAUCCGCGUCUGAUUAGCCAGUUGGCAGGGUAACGGCCUACCAAAGCGACGAUCAGUAGCCGAUCUGAGAGGAUGUACGGCCACAUUGGGACUGAGACACGGCCCAGACUCCUACGGAAGGCAGCAGUGGGGAAUAUUGCAAAAUGGAGGGAACUCUGAUGCAGCGACGCCGCGUGAGUGAAGAAGUAUUUCGGUAUGUAAAGCUCUAUCAGCAGGAAAGAAAAUGACGGUACCUGACUAAGAAGCACCGGCUAAAUACGUG
RNAcentral lists this ribosomal RNA (462 nucleotides) under uncultured bacterium. RNAcentral's name for it is "partial 16S ribosomal RNA". It matches the Rfam family "Bacterial small subunit ribosomal RNA", at positions 28 to 507 of the family's 1533-position model. The record is from RNAcentral.